CAAGUGUGUUGACACACACAAGGAAUUUGGUUCCAGUAGUUUGUGACUCUCAAAGUUUGUCUUAGGAUGAACAUGUUAGUCAAAUGAAGAGGAGAGAGAGAGAUGUGUGGCGGAGUGGAGGAUUCGUAACAGCAAUUGGAGCAGUGAACAAAGUGGAUAUUUAGGAACUCCAACGGCUGGUUUGCUCUUGCUGGGACUCCAUAAGAGGGCUGUGUAGAACUCCUGGCUUGACAGCUUUGAGUGGCUUCGCUUUCACCUGUGAACUGUAUGGAAAACAGCAGUUCAGGCAGAACUGCUUACUUUACUGGAUACCAUAACAGGAUACUUUAGCUUGAAGAGGCUAUGUUUUUGAUGCUUUCAGAGGGAGGGAGUAAACAGUUUUCCACUUUGGAAAAGGUUAAAAUCAAGUCAAAUUCGUGGGGAUAUUGAGCAGUUAUAAGCUGCUAAUUUAUGUGAGAUAAGGGAGAAAAGAGAAAAUCUCUGCCAUAUUGUUGCAGUUACUGUAUUUUUGGCCAGCCACAGCCAUGAUAAAAUGGAAGGGUUGGAUCUGAUGAUCUGCUGUGGCGACCCCAAACGGAGAAGUUAGCGGACUCUAGUAGCUAGAGAAGACAUUAAGAAAGAGCAUGGAGAAAAUUAAGACUAGCCCAAGUAAAUGGAGCUCCUAGUACAAUUUGACAUUUUCCUGCAAAUGUCCUUAAUAUAUUUAGAUAUUUAGAUCAUUGUAAUGCCCAUGGUCUUGUUUAUACUAUAUGAAGUCACAGUUGUUGUUUUUUUUGCUUAAUAAAGAGAAAUGAAAAAUAAAUGAUUGUUCAUUUCUAUUUGCAUGACGUAACUUACACUGUAGUUCAACAUAGUUUUAAAAACCUACAUGUGUUCAGUACAGAAACUGCUUUUACAGGACAUUAAUAUCUGGAAUUGCAAGCAUUUUCUGGAGCAGAACUAUUCAAACUGACGGACUUAGCAGUGACAGAAAAUUCAAAAGCUUUUUAAAUGACCAUUUCUGACCUACUAACCUUUAGGCACCAGGAGAUUUCCAUUUUAACAAUUUAAAUAGAAAGAGACCAAAUGUUUAGUCUUAAAAUAUUCCUUAUAACUGCUCCCCGGGUGCCACAGCAUAAAUGGCUGCCCACUGCUCUGAGUGUGUGUUCAAGUGUUUGUGUGUUCACUGCUGUGUGUGUGCACUUUGGAUGGGUCAAAAGCAGAGAACGAAUUCUGAGUAUGGGUCACCAUACUUAUCCGUAUGUCACGUCACUUAAUGAAAAUGGCAGAUCAGCCUCUUGGCAUAGGAAUUAUAGGAAUGAUUGACUUUUACAUAGGAGUUUUGAGUACUGGUUGAACAUCAACAGGACACUGAAAUAACAGAACAUUAAAGCCACCUGCCUAAUACUGUGUAAGUCCUGGUUGUGCCGCCAAAACUGGUUUGACUCAUUGAGGCAAGGACUCCACAAGAUCAGUGGUCCAUUUGUAAGUUUGGUCCUUAACAUAUUGGACUUGUUUGUCCAGCUCAUCUGACAGAUGCUCAGUUGGAAUGAUGUCUAGGGAAUUUGGAGGCCAAAUCAAUACUUUGAACAGUUUGUCAUGUUCCUCAAAUCAUACCUGAAAAGUUUUUGCAUUGUGGCAGGGUGUAUUGUCCUGCUGAAAGAGGCUUCUGCCAUUAGUGAACAAUGUUUGGGUAGGUGGCACGUUAUUUUACGUGUCAGAUUAACAUACGAUUACCAGGACCCGAGUUUUCUCAGCAGAACAUUGCCUAUAGCAUCACACUGCCUCUUAACCUCCUGGUGCCAUCUCUGCCACACAUAAGCAAACACAUGCAGCUGGCCACCUUGUGCGACACUGAUGCUCUGACCCCCGUCUAUCCAGCAUUAAACAUUUACAUUUUUCCAAAAAGUUA
Molecule: long non-coding RNA, 1891 nt
Organism: Tachysurus fulvidraco (yellow catfish)
Lineage: Eukaryota; Metazoa; Chordata; Actinopteri; Siluriformes; Bagridae
Exons: 2
Source: RefSeq, a predicted model, not a curated record